GCUGGGCACGGUAGUGUGUGCCUGUAGUCCCAACUACUCGGGAGGCUGAGGUGGGAGGAUCGCUUGAGGCCAGGAGUUCUAGGCUGUAGUGCGCUAUGCUGAUCGGGUGUCCGCACUAAGUUCGGCAUCAAUAUGGUGACCUCCCGGGAGCGGGGGACCACCAGGUUGCCUAAGGAGGGUGAACCGGCCCAGGUCGGAAAUGGAGCAGGUCAAAACUCCCGUGCUGAUCAGUAGUGGGAUCGAGAAUGUGAAUAGCCACUGCACUCCAGCCUGGGCAACAUAGCAAGACCCCGUCUCU
RNAcentral lists this signal recognition particle RNA (298 nucleotides) under Aotus nancymaae (Ma's night monkey). RNAcentral describes it as "Metazoan signal recognition particle RNA (ENSANAG00000005439.1)". It matches the Rfam family "Metazoan signal recognition particle RNA". Rfam says of the family: The signal recognition particle (SRP) is a universally conserved ribonucleoprotein. It is involved in the co-translational targeting of proteins to membranes. The record is from RNAcentral. Lineage: Eukaryota; Metazoa; Chordata; Mammalia; Primates; Aotidae.